ACAUGCUUACAACAUAGCGUUAAUGCAUUGAAUCCCAUUAGAACUCUGAAGUUAAGCGCGCUCGGGCUAGAGUAGUACUGGGAUGGGUGACUGCUUGGGAAGUCCUAGUGUUUUACAUGCU
Picea glauca (white spruce) is the source of this 121-nucleotide non-coding RNA. Lineage: Eukaryota; Viridiplantae; Streptophyta; Pinopsida; Pinales; Pinaceae. The record is from Rfam.